Molecule: ribosomal RNA, 496 nt
Filed under: uncultured bacterium
Lineage: Bacteria
Description: partial 16S ribosomal RNA
Rfam family: Bacterial small subunit ribosomal RNA
Source: RNAcentral
AUGCACGCUGGCGGCGUGCCUAAUCCCUGCCAGUCGAGCGCACGGACGAGAAGCUUGCUUCUCUGAUGUUAGCGGCGGACGGGUGAGUAACACGUGGAUAACCUACCUAUAAGACUGGGAUAACUUCGGGAAACCGGAGCUAAUACCGGAUGAUAUUUUGAACCGCAUGGUUCAAAAGUGAAAGACGGUCUUGCUGUCACUUAUAGAUGGAUCCGCGCUGCAUUAGCUAGUUGGUAAGGUAACGGCUUACCAAGGCAACGAUGCAUAGCCGACCUGAGAGGGCGAUCGGCCACACUGGAACUGAGACACGGUCCAGACUCCUACGGGAGGCAGCAGUAGGGAAUCUUCCGCAAUGGGCGAAAGCCUGACGGAGCAACGCCGCGUGAGUGAUGAAGGUCUUCGGAUCGUAAAACUCUGUUAUUAGGGAAGAACAUAUGUGUAAGUAACUGUGCACAUCUUGACGGUACCUAAUCAGAAAGCCACGGCUAACUACGUG